RNAcentral lists this ribosomal RNA (1207 nucleotides) under metagenome. Its description in RNAcentral is "bacterial LSU rRNA". It matches the Rfam family "Bacterial large subunit ribosomal RNA", at positions 1635 to 2834 of the family's 2925-position model. The record is from RNAcentral.
UAUACGACCGUACCGCAAACCGACACUGGUGCGCGAGAUGAGUAUUCUAAGGCGCUUGAGAGAACUCAGGAGAAGGAACUCGGCAAAUUGACACCGUAACUUCGGAAGAAGGUGUGCCCUAUUAGUGUGUAGUGAACAACGAAGCAUGAAUGGGUUGCAAAAAAUCGGUGGCUGCGACUGUUUAUUAAAAACACAGCACUCUGCAAACACGAAAGUGGACGUAUAGGGUGUGACGCCUGCCCGGUGCUGGAAGAUUAAAUGAUGGGGUGCAAGCUCUUGAUUGAAGUCCCAGUAAACGGCGGCCGUAACUAUAACGGUCCUAAGGUAGCGAAAUUCCUUGUCGGGUAAGUUCCGACCUGCACGAAUGGCGUAACGAUGGCCACACUGUCUCCUCCUGAGACUCAGCGAAGUUGAAAUGUUUGUGAUGAUGCAAUCUCCCCGCGGAAAGACGGAAAGACCCCAUGAACCUUUACUGUAGCUUUGUAUUGGACUUUGAACAGAUCUGUGUAGGAUAGGUGGGAGGCUUUGAAGCAGGGUCGCUAGAUCUUGUGGAGCCAACGUUGAAAUACCACCCUGGUGUGUUUGAGGUUCUAACCUAGGUCCAUUAUCUGGAUCGGGGACAGUGCAUGGUAGGCAGUUUGACUGGGGCGGUCUCCUCCCAAAGCGUAACGGAGGAGUUCGAAGGUACGCUAGUUACGGUCGGACAUCGUGACGAUAGUGCAAUGGCAUAAGCGUGCUUAACUGCGAGACUGACAAGUCGAGCAGAUGCGAAAGCAGGACAUAGUGAUCCGGUGGUUCUGUAUGGAAGGGCCAUCGCUCAACGGAUAAAAGGUACUCUGGGGAUAACAGGCUGAUACCGCCCAAGAGUUCAUAUCGACGGCGGUGUUUGGCACCUCGAUGUAGGCUCAUCUCAUCCUGGGGCUGUAGCCGGUCCCAAGGGUAUGGCUGUUCGCCAUUUAAAGAGGUACGUGAGCUGGGUUUAAAACGUCGUGAGACAGUUUGGUCCCUAUCUUCCGUGGGCGCUGCAGAUUUGAGGAAGCCUGCUCCUAGUACGAGAGGACCGGAGUGGACACACCUCUGGUGUAUCGGUUGUCACGCCAGUGGCAUUGCCGAGUAGCUAAGUGUGGAAGAGAUAACCGCUGAAAGCAUCUAAGCGGGAAACUCGUUUCAAGAUGAGAUCUGCCGGGGCCUUGAGCCCCCUAAAGUG